AAGCACGAAGAUCACUAAGGGCUUUUCGGUUGAAGCUUGGUUAGGUUAACAAACAAGGGUCAUUUCUAAGGCCAUUGAAAACGAAAUUGCCGACGCAAAAGAGACAUUCACUAUACAUUAUUCACACAUCUCAACUUCGUUCCAUUUAUUUCUCAUUUGCAACCUUCACAACUUUUAUUUCACAACUCCAUUUUUUUGUUUUUCACUAUUUUUCUUCCAAGCAAGCAUUCAUUUUUAUUUUCUCUCUAUAUUUUUUUUUUCUUUUUCUUUCACAUCAUAUUUACAAAAUAGAUGUUUCUCUUUUCUAUGUUAUAUAUAUAUAUAUAUAUAUUUUU
Molecule: long non-coding RNA, 335 nt
Filed under: Lathyrus oleraceus (garden pea)
Lineage: Eukaryota; Viridiplantae; Streptophyta; Magnoliopsida; Fabales; Fabaceae
Description: Pisum sativum (pea) long non-coding RNA (PSAT_LNC013876)
Source: RNAcentral